GCUCAGGACGAACGCUGGCGGCGUGCUUAACACAUGCAAGUCGAGCGGAAAGGCCACUUCGGUGGUACUCGAGCGGCGAACGGGUGAGUAACACGUGAGUAAUCUGCCCUCCACUUUGGGAUAGCCACCGGAAACGGUGAUUAAUACCGGAUAUGACCUGGUGCCGCAUGGUGCUUGGUGGAAAGUUUUUCGGUGGGGGAUGUGCUCGCGGCCUAUCAGCUUGAUGGUGGGGUAAUGGCCUACCAUGGCUUCGACGGGUAGCCGGCCUGAGAGGGUGACCGGCCACACUGGGACUGAGACACGGCCCAGACUCCUACGGGAGGCAGCAGUGGGGAAUAUUGGACAAUGGGCGGAAGCCUGAUCCAGCAACGCCGCGUGAGGGAUGACGGCCUUCGGGUUGUAAACCUCUUUCGCCUGCGACGAAGCGAAAGUGACGGUAGC
This 441-nucleotide ribosomal RNA is filed under the name Nocardioides sp. RNAcentral describes it as "bacterial SSU rRNA". It matches the Rfam family "Bacterial small subunit ribosomal RNA", at positions 22 to 479 of the family's 1533-position model. Lineage: Bacteria; Bacillati; Actinomycetota; Actinomycetes; Propionibacteriales; Nocardioidaceae. The record is from RNAcentral.